CCAGCCCCUACUGUGCUUUUAUUAAAACAGUAAAGUGUUUACAACAAAGAUCACGAAACAAAAAAGGUUACAAAGAAGAUCAAAUAAAUUACACAUAAGUACUAGCUAGCAAAUAGUAGUAUAGCCAAUGUCCACAUUCAAAACUGAGCUGGUAAAGAACAGAGGUCCACGUUGUGUGGCCUUGCAUAAUAGUAGUAGAAGACAGACAGUAGUGGGUGUCACCUCGCCGAUGCCGGAGGAAGCGCCGGUGAUGAGCACGACCUUGCCGGCGAGGUCCUCGGGGAAGAGCCAGGAGAGGAAGGAGUAGCAGGUCUUGAAGAGGUAGUAGGGCGGGUAGAAGAGCAGCAGGCAGGCCACCAUGGCCGGCGUCCCCACCCAGUUGAGCACGCCGUUCACCAGAUCCAUGACGACGACGCCCUCGAUCUUCGCCUGCUUGCUCUCAGUUGCGCACAGGGGAUGGAAGAACUACGAAUGAAGACGACGAGCCUCGCUAGUCGCUCC
Molecule: long non-coding RNA, 501 nt
Filed under: Sorghum bicolor (sorghum)
Lineage: Eukaryota; Viridiplantae; Streptophyta; Magnoliopsida; Poales; Poaceae
Description: long non-coding RNA (SBIC_LNC003917)
Source: RNAcentral